GUACUCGCUUCGGCGGUACAUAUACUAAAAUUGGAACGAUACAGAGAAGAUUAGCAUGGCCCUUGCGCAAGGAUGACACGCAAAAUCGUGAAGCGUUCCACAUUUUU
RNAcentral lists this small nuclear RNA (107 nucleotides) under Schistocerca gregaria. RNAcentral also lists the same sequence under 1 other name. The record is from RNAcentral. Lineage: Eukaryota; Metazoa; Arthropoda; Insecta; Orthoptera; Acrididae.